This 162-nucleotide small RNA is filed under the name Chrysemys picta bellii (western painted turtle). RNAcentral's name for it is "TUC338 (ENSCPBG00000004352.1)". The record is from RNAcentral. Lineage: Eukaryota; Metazoa; Chordata; Testudines; Emydidae.
AUGAAAGGCCUGGAGGCCAAGUUCCUGUACCCACCAAAUAAGUAGAACCCAGGUAUUAGCAGUGCAGGCUUCCCCAUGCUGCCCUGUCAAUGAGCCUCAAUUCUGAGAGUAUCUAAGUGAGUGGGCAGUUUUGUCCUCGUGCCCAUUCAGUCCUUGACCUUG